Molecule: transfer RNA, 71 nt
Filed under: Actinomycetota bacterium
Lineage: Bacteria; Bacillati; Actinomycetota
Description: tRNA-Gln
Rfam family: tRNA
About the family: Transfer RNA (tRNA) molecules are approximately 80 nucleotides in length. Their secondary structure includes four short double-helical elements and three loops (D, anti-codon, and T loops).
Source: RNAcentral
UCGGGGAUGGUGUAACGGCAACACGUCGGACUUUGGCUCCGAAGAUGGGGGUUCGAGCCCUCCUCCCCGAG